Molecule: ribosomal RNA, 1743 nt
Filed under: Triticum aestivum (bread wheat)
Lineage: Eukaryota; Viridiplantae; Streptophyta; Magnoliopsida; Poales; Poaceae
Description: partial small subunit ribosomal RNA
Source: RNAcentral
AUGCAGAGGCCAGGGAGUCCCCAUUUCGAGGAAAAAAAAAUUCAUCGCCGCCGCGGGCCAACUCCAUCGUCCUCCCCAUCCCCAUCCCAUCCACCACCUCUUAAAACCUCGGCCGCCCACCCCCCACAUCUCGCCAGCCAAAACCGACUCCGCACCGGCACGUACCGACAUCAACGCGGGCGCGCUCCCUUGCUCCGGGCAAUGGCCCUCCUCCUCCUCCUCGCCUACGCCGCGCUCGCCGUGGCGGCGCUCUCGCACAGGUCCGCGCUCCACGCGCUGCGCCGCCUGUGGCGCUGGGCCGACGACCAAACGCAGGCGUACCAGCUCCACCAGGUGCCGCGCAGGCUCCCUGGUGCUGAGGGAGUCCACCGGGAGAACCCGCUGUUCCUCAAGGCCGCGGCGUACGUCUCCUCGCUGCCGUCGCUCGAGGACGCCGACGCCGUCUCCGUGCUCUCCUCCUCCGCCAACAAGACCCACGGCGGCUUCUCGCUCCGCCUCGGCCCCGGCCACACCGCGCGCGACGCCUUCCUCGGCGCGCGCCUCGCGUGGACCUGCCUGGCCCGCGAGGACGGCGAGGAAGCGCUCGUGCUGCGCGUGCGCCGGCACGACCGGGCCCGCGUGCUCCGGCCCUACCUGCAGCACGUCGAGUCCGUGGCCGACGACAUGGAGCUACGAAGGCGGGAGUUGAGGCUCUUCGUCAACGUGCGCGGCGGCGUCGACGGGGCGCCGAGGUGGGCGUCGGCGCCGUUCGCGCACCCUGCCACGCUCGACGCGGUGGCCAUGGACCCGGACCUCAAGGCGCGCGUCCGCGCUGACCUGGAGAGCUUCGCCAAGGGCCGCGCCUACUAUCACCGGCUCGGCCGCGUCUGGCGCCGGAGCUACCUGCUCCACGGCCCGCCCGGCACCGGCAAGUCCACCUUCGCGGCGGCCAUGGCGCGCUUCCUCGGCUACGACGUGUACGACGUGGACCUGUCCCGCGCCGACGUCGACCUCCGCGCGCUGCUCAUGCAUACCACCCCGCGCUCCCUCAUCCUCCUCGAGGACCUCGACCGCCACCUGCAGCUCCAAGACCACGGCGCGGAGGCGCGGGUGCUGAGCUUCAUGGACGGCGUGGCCUCGUGCUGCGGCGAGGAGCGGGUGAUGGUGUUCACCAUGCGGGGCGUCGCGCCCUUGCCCGCGGCGGUGGCGCGGCCGGGGCGGCUGGACGUGCACGUCCGGUUCACGCUCUGCGACUUCGAGGCCUUCAAGGCGCUGGCCGGCAGCUACCUAGGGCUGACAGACCACAAGCUGUUCCCGCAGGUGGAGGAGGGGUUCCAAGCCGCCGGCGAGCGUCGCCCCAGCCCCGCCGAGCUUGGCGAGAUCAUGCUCGCCAACCGCGCGUCCUCGAGCCGCGCGCUCCGCACCGUCAUCACGAGGCUCCAGCACGAGCGCGCGUCGGAAGGCUCGGCCGCGCCGACAACGGCGCCGCCGCGGAUGCCGCACAGAAGGAUCACGAGCUGGUCCGGGGCCGGGCAGUGGGACGGCGGGGCGGAGGAGGAUGCGGGGACGACGGCGUGCGCGGGCGGCGGGGUGUUGGGCAAGGACGCGGCGCCGAUGCGGGAGCUGAAGAAGCUGUACGGGCUGAUCAAGACGAGGAGCCGGAAGGAUGGCCCCGGGGUCGCGCCGUCGGAGGAAGGCGAGGCGACGGCGGCGGUGAGCGGACGCUGGUCCGGGUCCGGCAGCAACCACGGCAUGGAGCGGUGA